AUGCAUCUAGAUGCUAUCAACUCUAGCGUCAUUCCUAGUUCAGAACAUGUUUGGAAAGUCAAAGUUCCUUUGAAAAUUAAAGUGUUUAUGUGGUUUAUACAUAAACAAGUCAUAUUAAUAAAGAAUAACUUGGUAAAGCGCAACUGGACAGGAUCUAUCAGGUGUAGUUUUUGUGAUCGAGAUGAAUCUGUCAAACACCUUUUUCUUAAUUGCCCGUUGGCCAAAGUUUUGUGGCAGACGGUGCACGUUGCCUUUAACAUUACUCCUCCAAAUUCUGUCAGUACGUUAUUUGGAACGUAG
This 300-nucleotide ribosomal RNA is filed under the name Triticum aestivum (bread wheat). Its description in RNAcentral is "partial small subunit ribosomal RNA". The record is from RNAcentral. Lineage: Eukaryota; Viridiplantae; Streptophyta; Magnoliopsida; Poales; Poaceae.